CGGCCAGUGGCGGAGCGGUCAAACGCAUCUCCGUAUAAAGGAGACUGUCGCUGGUUCGAAUCCCGUCAGGUUGG
Molecule: transfer RNA, 74 nt
Organism: Operophtera brumata (winter moth)
Lineage: Eukaryota; Metazoa; Arthropoda; Insecta; Lepidoptera; Geometridae
Rfam family: tRNA
About the family: Transfer RNA (tRNA) molecules are approximately 80 nucleotides in length. Their secondary structure includes four short double-helical elements and three loops (D, anti-codon, and T loops).
Source: Rfam